ACGGGUGAGUAACACGUAGGUAACCUGCCUAUGAGACUGGGAUAACUAUCGGAAACGAUAGCUAAGACCGGAUAACUGGUUUUCUCGCAUGAGAGAAUCAUGAAACACGGAGCAAUCUGUGGCUUAUAGAUGGGCCUGCGGCGCAUUAGCUAGUUGGUAGGGUAAUGGCCUACCAAGGCGACGAUGCGUAGCCGACCUGAGAGGGUGAACGGCCACACUGGGACUGAGACACGGCCCAGACUCCUACGGGAGGCAGCAGUAGGGAAUCUUCCGCAAUGGACGCAAGUCUGACGGAGCAACGCCGCGUGAGUGAUGAAGGUUUUCGGAUCGUAAAGCUCUGUUGCCCUAGACGAACAGCAAGGAGAGUAACUGCUCUUUGUGUGACGGUAUAGGAGAAGAAAGCCCCGGCUAACUACGUGCCAGCAGCCGCGGUAAUACGUAGGGGGCAAGCGUUGUCCGGAAUUAUUGGGCGUAAAGCGCGCGCAGGCGGUUAAUUAAGUUGGGUGUUUAAGCCCGGGGCUCAACCCCGGUUCGCAUCCAAAACUGGUUGACUUGAGUGUAGGAGAGGAAAGUGGAAUUCCACGUGUA
This 588-nucleotide ribosomal RNA is filed under the name uncultured bacterium. Its description in RNAcentral is "bacterial SSU rRNA". It matches the Rfam family "Bacterial small subunit ribosomal RNA", at positions 102 to 677 of the family's 1533-position model. The record is from RNAcentral.